UCCUGCUUCUUUCUUCUUCUCCUGUUCGAUUUCGAGUGAAAUUCCGAGUUAAUUUGAGUGAAUCAACUAGUGAAGUUUCAUAGAUGAAAGUGGAGUUAUUCUCUGUGAAUUAUGAAGGAGAUUUUGCUAUUGCGAAUCAUGAAAAAUUAGAAAAAUGGGAAGAACUGCUGAUACUGUGAAUUGAUAUGGUUUGCUGCCGAGAUAAAAGCUGAAGAUGAUAAGUGCUUGUCUUUGAUUCGAGAGGGCUAGGAGAGACUGAGAAGAUCGAAAAAAUGGUGCUGAGAGAUGGGUUUCAUUGGAAUUUGGUUUACAGCAAGAACUGGUGCUCAAGUUGAACACAAAAUUGGAAAUGGGAAUGAGAUGGAUUUUCAUCUGGAGGUUUGAUGUUCUGCAGGAGAGGAGGAAAGAUGGGUUGCAUUGGUGCUGGUAAAAAUGCAGAUGCAAUGGCUGGUUGUGUUGGUGGAACUGUUGAAGGUGGUUGUGCUACUGCAGUGGUGAAAUUGAGCUGGAAUGAUGUCAAUGGAUAUGUGUUGCAGGACAGAGUUAGCAAGGAAAGUUGAGUUUGUUUUGCUGCCUUUAUGGUAGUGAUGAGUUAUAGUUAUUGGUGAUUCAGGGACUGAGUCGGAAGAACAAAGAAGAAAAAUGACCUAUAUUGGCAGGGAGAUGAUUGAGAGAUUGAGCUAGAAGAUGUCAUGGUGAUGCUGGUGAUAAUUGAUGAUAGAUAGUUCGAGUUGGUUUACAUCAAUAGGGUCCGUGGUUUUAUAGAGAUGAUGCUGCGAACAUAUGGGAGAUGGACGUUGUUUGGGUAUGGCUGGAAAGAAGAAAACUCGAGUUUAGGUUUUAUUUUGUAGGAGUUGUGUCGUGAACGUUGGAUGUUCUUAGGAUAACUAAAGAAGAGCUAUUGAACCAUUGGA
This is a long non-coding RNA of Papaver somniferum (opium poppy), 914 nucleotides long. RefSeq lists it as uncharacterized. The transcript is spliced from 2 exons. NCBI's taxonomy places the organism in Eukaryota, Viridiplantae, Streptophyta, Magnoliopsida, Ranunculales, Papaveraceae. The record is from RefSeq and is a predicted model, not a curated record.